Molecule: ribosomal RNA, 561 nt
Filed under: Triticum aestivum (bread wheat)
Lineage: Eukaryota; Viridiplantae; Streptophyta; Magnoliopsida; Poales; Poaceae
Description: partial small subunit ribosomal RNA
Source: RNAcentral
AUGAGGAAGCCACACUUCAUGGGGAAGCUACAAGACGAAGUGAGGAGUAUCAUACCCGGGGGACAAGAAAUUGUGAGCCAAUCUGACAUGAACAACAUGGUGUACCUAAGAGCAGUAAUAAAAAAGCCUCUCAGGUUGUAUCCUGUUGCGCCUCUCCUUGCUCCGCACCUUGCCAUGGCUGAUUGUACCAUCCAUGGAUACAUGGUUCCUGCUGGAACUCGUGUCGUCAUAAAUGCAUGGGCCGUUGGGAGGGAUUCGAGCUCUUGGGAGGGUGCGGAAGAGUUCAUACCUGAAAGAUUUACAGAUAAAGGCACCGCUACGAAUGUCAAUUUCAAGGGGAAUGAUUUCCAGUUCUUGCCGUUCGGGCCCGGACGAAGGAUAUGCCCUGGUAUAAACCUCGGAAUCGCAAAUGUCGAAUUUAUGUUAGCAAACCUCGUGAACCAUUUUGAUUGGGAACUUCCGGUUGGGGUUGAGAGAAAAAAUAUCUAUAUGACAGAGGUGUUUGGGCUAACCGUUCGCAGGAAGGAGAAACUAUUGUUGAUUCCAAAAUCACGCAUGUAA